Molecule: ribosomal RNA, 345 nt
Filed under: uncultured Anaerolineaceae bacterium
Lineage: Bacteria; Bacillati; Chloroflexota; Anaerolineae; Anaerolineales; Anaerolineaceae
Description: bacterial SSU rRNA
Rfam family: Bacterial small subunit ribosomal RNA
Source: RNAcentral
CGGGAGCUAACACAGGUGCUGCAUGGCUGUCGUCAGCUCGUGUCGUGAGAUGUUCGGUUAAGUCCGCUAACGAGCGCAACCUUCGCCGUGUGUUAUAAGUGUCACGCGGGACCGCCGGGCUUAAGCCGGAGGAAGUGGGGAUGACGUCAAGUCAGCAUGGCCUUUAUGUCCUGGGCUACACACACGCUACAAUGGCCAGUACAAUUGGUAGCGAAGUCGCGAGGCGGAGCCAAUCCGUAAAAGCUGGCCUCAGUUCAGAUUGCAGGCUGCAACCCGCCUGCAUGAAGAUGGAGUUGCUAGUAACCGCAGGUCAGCAAUACUGCGGUGAAUACGUUCCCGGGCCUU